CACGUAGGGGGCAAGCGUUGUCCGGAGUUACUGGGCGUAAAGGGCGUGUAGGUGGUUGCGUAAGUCUGGCGUGAAAUUUUUCGGCUUAACCGGGAAAGGUCGUCGGAUACUGCGUAGCUAGAGGACGGUAGAGGCGUGUGGAAUUCCGGGUGUAGUGGUGAAAUGCGUAGAGAUCCGGAGGAACACCAGUGGCGAAGGCGACACGCUGGGCCGUACCUGACACUGAUGCGCGACAGCAUGGGGAGCAAACAGG
Molecule: ribosomal RNA, 253 nt
Filed under: uncultured bacterium
Lineage: Bacteria
Description: partial 16S ribosomal RNA
Rfam family: Bacterial small subunit ribosomal RNA
Source: RNAcentral